Molecule: long non-coding RNA, 363 nt
Filed under: Brassica napus (rape)
Lineage: Eukaryota; Viridiplantae; Streptophyta; Magnoliopsida; Brassicales; Brassicaceae
Description: long non-coding RNA (BNAP_LNC023826)
Source: RNAcentral
UCUGAUUCCUAUAACGUUCUGGCGGCGACUUUGACGCAGGAUAUCAAACCGACGAUGUCUCCGGCUGAAUUUUACGACAAAACAAUGGAGACUUUCGGGUUUACUUUGAAGUAAGCCUCAAUGAAGCUGUUUAGCAAUUUAUAUAUGAGGAAAAAGUGAGGAAGGUAGAACGAAACAAUAACUAAGAGAUUAAAUAGGUCAUUGAUUGAUCAAGAGGAGCAAGCGAUAACGGAGAUUACAGAGCAAUCGAGAAGGUGAAGACAAAGUAGAAGAGUCGGGGAUGAUCAACUCGUACGCUCCAGACCAAAUUAGGGUUGGGCGAUAUUGGGCUUGCUAUGACAGUAAAGAAAAUUAAUGGCAGUC